Molecule: long non-coding RNA, 223 nt
Filed under: Brassica napus (rape)
Lineage: Eukaryota; Viridiplantae; Streptophyta; Magnoliopsida; Brassicales; Brassicaceae
Description: long non-coding RNA (BNAP_LNC005550)
Source: RNAcentral
CAUAACACAUAUUCGAAACGGCAAACAGUUGAGACGCUGGGCUUUACUAGCAUUCACAAGGACUGUAAUCAGGUCAGGCCCGAAUUUGAAUUAUCAUCAUGGGCUUGAAAUCCAAAACUCACACGAAGGUGCGUGUGCCUCACAACAAGACACGCGAACCACAGACGUUCGCGUCAUUUCACCACGAAAUGCGAAAUGUUGCCGCCAACUUUACUACUUUCCC